GCCCCGGUGGCUUAGCCUGGUAGAGCAUCCGCCUUGUAAGCGGAAGGUCGAGGGUUCAAAUCCCUCCCGGGGCU
Molecule: transfer RNA, 74 nt
Filed under: Thermoproteota archaeon
Lineage: Archaea; Thermoproteati; Thermoproteota
Description: Crenarchaeota archaeon (hot springs metagenome) tRNA-Thr
Rfam family: tRNA
About the family: Transfer RNA (tRNA) molecules are approximately 80 nucleotides in length.
Source: RNAcentral